This 69-nucleotide transfer RNA is filed under the name Saccharomyces cerevisiae (brewer's yeast). Its description in RNAcentral is "transfer RNA-Pro". It matches the Rfam family "tRNA". From Rfam's summary of the family: Transfer RNA (tRNA) molecules are approximately 80 nucleotides in length. Their secondary structure includes four short double-helical elements and three loops (D, anti-codon, and T loops). The record is from RNAcentral. Lineage: Eukaryota; Fungi; Ascomycota; Saccharomycetes; Saccharomycetales; Saccharomycetaceae.
GGGCGUGUGGUCUAGUGGUAUGAUUCUCGCUUUGGGCGAGAGAGGCCCUGGGUUCAAUUCCCAGCUCGC